Molecule: ribosomal RNA, 495 nt
Filed under: uncultured bacterium
Lineage: Bacteria
Description: partial 16S ribosomal RNA
Rfam family: Bacterial small subunit ribosomal RNA
Source: RNAcentral
ACUCAAAGGAAUUGACGGGGACCCGCACAAGCGGUGGAGCAUGUGGUUUAAUUCGACGCAACGCGAAGAACCUUACCUGGGUUAAAUCUCGCCUCGGCGCCCCAGAGAUGGGGAAUCCCUUCGGGGGAGGCGGGACGGUGCUGCAUGGCUGUCGUCAGCUCGUGCCGUGAGGUGUUGGGUUAAGUCCCGCAACGAGCGCAACCCUUGCCACUAGUUGCCAGCGUCAAGACGGGCACUCUAGUGGGACUGCCGGUGACAAACCGGAGGAAGGUGGGGAUGACGUCAAGUCAUCAUGGCCUUUAUGUCCAGGGCUACACACGUGCUACAAUGGCCGGUACAAAGCGCCGCAAACCCGCGAGGGGGAGCCAAUCGCAAAAAGCCGGUCUCAGUUCGGAUUGCAGUCUGCAACUCGACUGCAUGAAGGUGGAAUCGCUAGUAAUCGCGGAUCAGCACGCCGCGGUGAAUACGUUCCCGGGUCUUGCACACACCGCCCGU